Non-coding RNA from Aegilops tauschii subsp. strangulata, 4442 nucleotides. The record is from RefSeq and is a predicted model, not a curated record. Lineage: Eukaryota; Viridiplantae; Streptophyta; Magnoliopsida; Poales; Poaceae.
CAGCCGGCUCCCCUCCUGUUCCUUCGUCUCCCCCUCGAGCGCUCCUCCCCCCCUCCCUGUUCUGUUCGUGCGAGGAAGAAAGCAGCGGGACUCCGCAGGACGCGCCGGGCCCCCGCAGGACGCGCCGGCGGCCGCCUCCACCUCCGCUGAUCGCCGCCGGCUCGGCCUACCGCCGCGCCUCCGCCUCCGCCUACCCGAUUAAGAUCCAUCCGCCAUAUGCAUGGACGGCGCCCCGUUCGAUUUCUUGUCUCAAACGGAAUAGUCUGGUGCUGCUGCGGAGGCCAUGGACGGCGAAGGGUGGGGCUUGACGCCGCCUCAUCUCCGGCGUGAUAGUUCCGGCGGCCGCGUUCCGAGGGCCGGGAACGUCGCCGCACCGCGCAUGGACCUGGGGAACCUUGACCUCAACGCCGACUGCGGCGCCGCCUCGUACCCCGACAUGACCAUGUACACGCAUAUCCUUCAACGGGACAGCGGCUCCGGUCAAGGUUUCCCCCCACAGAGGGCAAGAUCAGAUGGCUUGCCGCUGCGAGGUCGUCCACCUCGCAAGGUCUGUCCGUAGCGAGGGCACCAGGUGCUCGCGGCAAGGCCGUCGUGGUGCCGGGGGGAGGUGAUGCUGCUGCCAUGCGAGUUGCUGCACGUCGUGGGGGUUCAAAUGGCGCGAGCAGCAGCAGGCAGCCGCAGGUAGCGCCGAUUCCGGUGGAUGAUGAUGACGGCAUCGAAGAAGACGAAGAUGAAGAUGAGAACACGCUGAACCAGCAUAGGAAGAAGCCAAAAAGCAAGGCUAAUUGGACCGACGAAAAUACGUACAUUUUGUGUGAGUUAGCUUGUGAGGAGAUAGAGGAUGGCAAUUUUACUGCUAAAGUUUGGACCAGUCAGGGUUACAAAAAUAUUAUGGAGAAAUAUUAUCAAAAGACAAAAUUGUGGCAUCUAGGGAGGGAAGUGAAGAACAAAAUCCAGAACCUGAAGGGUGUGUACAAUGAUUGGGUAUGGUUGCAGCAACAAACCGGAUGCGGCCGCGGCGAACAUGGAGAAGUUACGGCAACUACAGCUUGGUGGGAGAGGGAGAUCAAGAGUAGACCAAAUCUCAAGAAAUUUAGAAAGGGUAACCCUGAGUACAUUGGACUGUUGCAUGAGGUAGCUGUGGAUGGUACUUCUGCUUACGUACCUGGGCGACCAGAGAUCCUGAAUUCAGAGUUGUGCAUGAAAGGUUAAGAAAUGCUCAGUGGCAUCCAUGGUUCAAUGACAGCAUUGGGGCAAUAGAUGGGACUCAUGUGCAAGUUGUGGUGCCACCUACCAAGAUUCCGCAGUACUUAAACAGACAUGGCUACUGUAGUCAGAAUGUUAUGGUUGUAUGUGAUUUCAACAUGAGAUUCACUUUCGUUCUUGCCGGGUGGCCUGGAUCGGUUCAUGAUAUGAGGCCCUUCAAGGAUGCCCUUAGCCGGUUUAGUCACAAGUUUCCUCAUCCACCUCCAGAAAUUUUUUAUCUUGUUGACUCGGGCUACCCCAACAAGGCGGAUUAUCUUGCACCAUAUAGGGGGCAGAAGUACCAUUUCCAAGAGUUCCAUCAAGGCACCAUGCCGAGAGCUGUGUAGGUUUUGCACAACCUUUGCGGCAACAGCGGCCAUGCGGCGGAUAGGACGGUGAGGAGGACGCGCAGAACUCUAGGGAAUUCCGAACUCUAGACGGCGGCGGCGACGAGAGGUCGUGCAGAACUCUAGACUUCCUGUGGGAUUAGACUAGCCACAAUGGGUAGUUGGCAUGUUACUACUCUAUGUUAAUACCUCUAUAGUGGGGAGUAACAUAUUUGUGGUAACAUGCAAUACUUCAUUUAUUAUGCUAUAGACUCAUCUUGCCUUGAUAUGUGCGAUGUUACUCAUACUAGUAGUAACUAGCUAUGUUACUACAUGUCUCUCUUUCUUCAUUUAUUGCUUGCCACAUCAUCUAUUUUAUCUAGAUAUGUGUGAUGUUACCACUGUGGGUAGUCUUAAUAAUGGCCGGUUGGAAAUCAGAAUUAAGGCUUGGCUGGAUAUAAUCGGGGACUAGUGCUUUGAGAUAGGUACUGACACGUGUCGUGAAUCUGAAUGGCGUAGCGAGGCGUACGACCUAGUAGUAUAAGAUUUUUUCCCAUGUUUACGUUGGCGCGCAGGAACGGGCAACGAUCAGGAGUGCUAAUAAAUACACCGAUAUCGAGAUGGGCUCACAGGAUUUGUGACUUGUUGUCGUGUGCAGUAAAGAGAAAGUGAGCGCCAAUUUCUAUUUGACGCUUAUUACGUUAAGAUGUCGUUGUUUCGCACAAGGAACCGAGCGAGGGAAGUUCAGAUGUGCUAACCCAUUUAAGCUAUUAUUAUACAUCCACAAAUAGCGGUUUUGUGAACCUUUCUUUCAUUUCUGAUUUUUUUUCUUUACCUGCUUUUGGUUUCUUUACUUAAAAAAACACAAAAUGUAAGCGUUUAAAAAAUAUUCAUGGUUUUUCUAGAAAAUGUUCAAAAUUUCAAAAAUAUGUUGUUUUUCAGAAAUGUUCUCAAAUUUAAAAUAUUGUUCACUUUUAAAACUAUAUAUAUAUAUAUAUGUAAUAAUAUUUUAUAUAUUCAUAUUUUGAAAAUAAAAAAUCAAUCUGAAGUAAGUAAAACAGAAGAAGAAAAUGUGUCGCAACAAGAAGAACGUCUUGCUAUAGGACAAUCAGGCUCGCUCGCUAUGCGUCGACCUAGUCAGGAAGGAUGUCCCGUGCGAAAUAACGACUAUUUGACGCCACUAGCAUCAAAUGGCGUCAAAUAGGAGCACUCAGAGUGGGCGGUGGGGGAGAAAGGAGAGGCGAUGAAGGGAUGGGUUAAGCCUCUUGGCAUACUAUCAUGGUAUGUCCUCCCUCCGCCCCUUAAUAUCAGACGUCUUUGCAUUUGAACUGCAAAAACGUCUUAUAUUAUGGGACAGAGGUAGUAUAUUUUUGGGGUAAUAUUGACUAAAGAUUAUUAGGCUCAAAUCCAAAUCAGAUGAUACGAUGGUAUUUAUUUAAUUUAUACUAAAACCUUCCAAUUAAUGCGCGUGGCCAGCGAUGUCUCUCCAGGGAGCUCCUAUUCAGCGACCCGUGCGGUGGAAAUCGAGGAAGCGCGCGCUUUUGGGCCGGCCCAUGUAGGGGGCAGGCGCCACUGUUUAUUUAUUUAUUUUUUCUAUUUUUUUGCUUCUAUAAAAUUGUUUGGGAUUUCGAAAAAAAAUCGAAUUUAAAAAUGUUAGUGAUUUAAAAAAACGUUCGCAAAUUCAAAAAAAUAUGAAUUUAGAAAAUGAAAAAAAAAUCACAAAUUCAAUAAAUGGUCAUGAAAUUGAAAACAUGUUCAUGAAUAAAUCAAAUGUUUGCACAUAAAAAAAUGUCUACCCGAGCAUAUCAAAGAACAUUUUGACGAAGUAUAGGUCCAUGUCCAUUAAAGGAGAGGUCGUUUGCACGUCAACGGUAAAAAAAAAUCAUUACCCUUGCUUACUCUAAGCUUAGGGAGGUUCCUCUUUCUUUACUGGCCUUUAAGAAAUUGCACUUUCUCUUUUCAUUUUAUAAUUUAUUUUGAGAUUCGUUCUUACAAAAUUCAAAGCUUGGGGAAGUUACUUUUGCAUUUGUAGUCUUGUGCAAUGAUCUUCAUCUGACAAAUGCUAUGCAAUCAUGUUUUCACUGUUUGACAUGCUUGCUUAGGUAUGAUUGGUCUGUAUUCGCAUAAGGGAAUCACUUGCGCAAGUCAGUCCCCAUAUUGCCAAGUUAAUGUUUCUAUGCACUUUGUUCAAGUUUUUGCUUAUCUUGGAAACAAUCUUGUGAUCGUCUAAAAGACAUUGCCAUGACCUAUACUUUUUCGAAAGAAAAGAAAAAUGACGAUUGAAUAAUUUUUUCGAGACUUGUUAGAUUUUUUUUAAAACAAAAAGUUAUGGAGUACCUCAACCACAUAGUGUUUACAACAAGAGGUCGGGGGUAGGGAAAAGAGUCGAGUCGAUCGGCCGGGAGAAGCAAAACGAAAUCCGGACUUAAUAGUUCUUGCUUUGGUCGUUAUUUAUACAGAAUCAAUAGUCCAUAAUAUUUAAGAUUAUGCCAAAACCUAUGUUGCAAUACAUGACGUUUCAGCUUCUUGCUGGUUCCAUGGCCUUGUCACCUUAUGUUGUUUUAUGCCACAUGGGUGUGACUUCGUCGCCUCUCUUGAGUUUAUGUCGAGGACUCCGCUGGCCAAUGAACAAUCCACCAGACUUUUCGCUCGGAUUACGGCCAUGAAUUUUUAACGUUAGUAGUGCAACACUACAUCAAUUAUUAUUCGAUUUUUCUCUUGAGAGUGCGUGUAUGUGGUAAUAAAAGAAUAUUGAUCAUUGCGCUCGAAAGAGACAAUUCUUGGUCCAUUGUAUUCAAACAUAAGCCACAGUGAAACCCCCUCAUUUGUAUUUCGCCUUUUGGCAUAAUCUUGAGAACUUGGAGAUACCUA